Molecule: non-coding RNA, 73 nt
Organism: Neogale vison (American mink)
Lineage: Eukaryota; Metazoa; Chordata; Mammalia; Carnivora; Mustelidae
Source: the annotation of a RefSeq genome assembly
ACCUGGCUGGCUCAGUCGGUAGAGCAUGGGACUCUUGAUCUCAGGGUCAUGAGUUUGAACCCCAUGUUGGGUA